This 54-nucleotide transfer RNA is filed under the name Liparis gibbus (variegated snailfish). RNAcentral describes it as "partial transfer RNA-Ser". The record is from RNAcentral. Lineage: Eukaryota; Metazoa; Chordata; Actinopteri; Perciformes; Liparidae.
CCCCCAUAAACUGGUUUCAAGCCAGCCACAUAGCCACUCUGUCAUUUUCUUCAU